UACGAACCGUACGAACGUUAUUCGGAAUCACUGGGCUUAAAGGGUGCGUAGGCGGCGCUGAAAGUUGGGUGUGAAAUCCCUCGGCUUAACCGAGGAACUGCGCCCAAAACUGCAGUGCUCGAGGGAGACAGAGGUGAGCGGAACUUAGGGUGGAGCGGUGAAAUGCGUUGAUAUCCUAAGGAACGCCAGUGGCGAAAGCGGCUCACUGGGUCUCUGCUGACGCUGAGGCACGAAAGCUAGGGUAGCGAACGGG
This 253-nucleotide unclassified non-coding RNA is filed under the name uncultured Pirellulaceae bacterium. RNAcentral describes it as "contains 16S-23S intergenic spacer region". It matches the Rfam family "Bacterial small subunit ribosomal RNA", at positions 524 to 776 of the family's 1533-position model. Lineage: Bacteria; Pseudomonadati; Planctomycetota; Planctomycetia; Pirellulales; Pirellulaceae. The record is from RNAcentral.